This 497-nucleotide ribosomal RNA is filed under the name uncultured bacterium. RNAcentral's name for it is "partial 16S ribosomal RNA". It matches the Rfam family "Bacterial small subunit ribosomal RNA", at positions 28 to 507 of the family's 1533-position model. The record is from RNAcentral.
GACGAACGCUGGCGGCGUGCCUAAUACAUGCAAGUAGAACGCUGAAGAGAGGCUCUUGCUCGUCUUGGAUGAGGUGCGAACGGGUGAGUAACGCGUAUGUAACCGGCCUUGUAGCGGGAGAUCACUAUUGGAAACGAUAUCUAAUACCGCAUAAGAAUGGGUUACACAGGGCAUUUAGUAGAAAGGGGCAAUUGCUGCACUACAAGAUGGACCUGCGUUGUAUUGGCUAGUAGGUGAGGUAAUGGAUCAUCUAGGCGUCGAUACAUAGCCGACCUGAGAGGGUGGUUAGCCACACUGGGACUGAGACACGGCCCAGACUGCUACGGGAGGCAGCAGUAGGGAAACUUCGGCAAUGGGGGGAAACCUGACCGCGCAAGGCCGCGGGAGUGUAGAAGGGUUUCGGGUCGUAAAGGUCUGUUGUAGGGCAAGAACGGGUGUUAGAGUGGAAAGCUGACACUGUGACGGUAGCGUACCAGAAAGCAACGGCUAACUACGUG